AAUGCCCAACCCUCAUGACAUCUCAGACAGAAUGUGGUCCAGGGGCUGAGCAGAAGUGAAGGAGAACACAGCAGUCUCCAUCGCCCGUGCCUGCUAUGUGAGGAAGCAGAGCUCAAACCCUGGAGGAGUCUUUUGCUUCCUUGCUUUCUUUUCAUACAAAACAUCCUGAAGAGCAGCCUCUGGUUCCUGCCUUCUGUGAUGCUUGCGAGACCCCCUCAGGCCAGAGUCUCCCCUCCAGAGGCUGAGUCAGGAGGACAACUAGGUGCUCAGGGCUGCAGUUCAGGAGACACGGAUUCUGCCCCCAACAGCCGAGGUUGAGGCCUGCUCCACGUGCAGGCCCCAGGCCGCUGCUGGCACGUGGCAUCUGCGGGGUGGACAGAGGCCAGUUGGCUGUCUGAAGCUCUCUGACUCUUGCCCCUUUCUAUCGCGGCUCAUCCCUGGUGCUCUCUGGCCCGGCUCUAGCUCACACACCUCUUUGUUUCACCAGCAUUUCGUUUGGUUUGGUUUUUUCCCCCAUUAAAAACUUUCCAUUUGUGCUUGAGAUGGCUUCAGGCUCUUCCUCCUAAUCCAUACCUUAGAAAUACAUAAACAAGAGGAAGGUUGUUGCCUAUUAAAACCUUACAUGAACCA
Molecule: long non-coding RNA, 630 nt
Filed under: Ailuropoda melanoleuca (giant panda)
Lineage: Eukaryota; Metazoa; Chordata; Mammalia; Carnivora; Ursidae
Description: lncRNA (ENSAMEG00000024077.1)
Source: RNAcentral